Molecule: ribosomal RNA, 187 nt
Filed under: Amanita longistriata
Lineage: Eukaryota; Fungi; Basidiomycota; Agaricomycetes; Agaricales; Amanitaceae
Description: partial 28S ribosomal RNA
Rfam family: Eukaryotic large subunit ribosomal RNA
Source: RNAcentral
UUGACCUCAAAUCAGGUAGGACUACCCGCUGAACUUAAGCAUAUCAAUAAGCGGAGGAAAAGAAACUAACAAGGAUUCCCCUAGUAACUGCGAGUGAAGCGGGAAAAGCUCAAAUUUAAAAUCUGGCAGUCUUUGGCUGUCCGAGUUGUAAUCUAGAGAAGUGUUGCCCACACUGGACCGUGUACAA